GCUUGCCACUGGGGGAGCCUGCCUUUGGGAACCCAGAGGAACUAGAGAAUGGAGGGGCAGCAGCGCCACGGCCAAGGAGAGUCGAACUCAGAGAGUCUUCAGGGUCACUAGGCUGGAGCCCAAGCCUUGGCUCUGCCCCGCCAGAGGGCAGCCGCGGGGCCUCCUGGGAGAUGCAGUUCCCGCGCGCUUCCAGCGGCCUGCGCGCGAGCAGGUGCCAACGGUGCCAACGACACCAACGGUGCCCAAGGAGCCAGAGGGGCUGGCAACCGAAAGGAGAGAGGCCACGUCCUGCUGAGCCGCCGAGGGAUCAGGCUAGCCCGAGGUGGGGCUCGCAGCACUGCCUCUCCAGAGCCCCUGGCCACCAUGGCAGUGGUUUACCGUUGGGCCAGCUGCCAGUCACUGGGCAGCACCUUAGCUGCUGUAUUCACCAUGCUGAGAGAGGCGGCUUACAUCCUGCCCAGAGAAGCAGGACGCCCACAGAGGCAUGCCCACCCUCACUAAGCGGUCUUGGAGGAGGGCUUUCUGAGAGCAGUGAAGACUUCAAAGAGUGGCCUGGAGGCCUGCUGGGCAGAUCCACCUAUCACAGCCAGAGAAUAACCGGAACAGAUUUGCAGCGGAGCAAUGAUUUGUUGCCUGCUGGACCAAGGGAGUCUACACAACACGUAAAACACAGGUAAGGCGCUGUUGGAAAGGACGGUAGGAUGCGGGUGUGUAGUCAAUUGAUUUGCGGAUACGUUUAAGGAAGUGAGGUCUUUUGAAAGUUGUUUGUCAGGAAGAGGCGGUAAUUCUGGGACUGGAUUUUUUUUUUUCUCUUUGAGACUAAGAGAAAACACACAGAGAAACAAACCUGUGAUUAGUAAAGCAGCAGCAGUUUUUGGUUGCUGAGAUGAGGGGUGUUUGGUAUUUUUGUGGCUUGGCCUACAUUGGUGUCGUCUCUGGUCUCUGUCUAACCCAGGGGAACAGCGCAGACUCACGCCACUCGCGGUCGGUCAGAGGCCGCUUUGCCUGCUCAAUCGCACGGGAACAACGGACGGGUGCGGACCUGACUCCCUUCGCCUGAGACCGCGCGAGUGCAGGAUGACUGCCACUGUCGUGUGGACCGAAAGCCGGUCCGGACGUCGGCUGGGCUCCACCACCCCGCUCUUCCCGGGAAACGCCGCCGCAUCAACUUGACAGGAGAGCGGCUGCCCGGGCCAGAAACGCUCGUGCGCUUGCGCAGCCCAACCCCGCCCCCGCGCGUAGCACUCUGGGGCGGCGGCUGCGCGGCGCGCGAUUGGCA
This 1279-nucleotide long non-coding RNA is filed under the name Cricetulus griseus (Chinese hamster). RNAcentral's name for it is "lncRNA (ENSCGRG00015042563.1)". Lineage: Eukaryota; Metazoa; Chordata; Mammalia; Rodentia; Cricetidae. The record is from RNAcentral.